Molecule: ribosomal RNA, 948 nt
Filed under: Triticum aestivum (bread wheat)
Lineage: Eukaryota; Viridiplantae; Streptophyta; Magnoliopsida; Poales; Poaceae
Description: partial small subunit ribosomal RNA
Source: RNAcentral
AUGGCGGCGAGCGACCCGCAACUUUGCCGGGAGCCCGGCCAGCGCCCCCGCCGCCCCGUGUGCGCCGUCUGCACGAAGCCCCUCCGCGUCUGCCUCUGCGGCCGCCUCCGCGGGCCCCCGCUGGACACCGCCGUCGGCGUCACUGUGCUGCAGCACCCCACGGAGGCCCAGCACCCGCUCAGCUCCGUCCGCGUCGCCCGCCUCGGCCUCCGCAACCUCGCCGUCGCCCAGGUCGCCGACGUCGCCCACCGCGCCAGCUUCCUCCUCACAACGAAUAUUGGACUUGGAGGCGGAGAAACUGAAAAUGCUGAAGCCGGUGCCGCCAUUGGAGAAGCUUGGACGGUGGAAACCAUGGACAAGUGCUCCAUCGCUUACACGGAGAAGCAGCUCAUGAUCGACAUCGAGCGCGGCGUCGGCGCGAACGCCAAGAUCAGGUGGCCGUCAAGAUGUUCUCCUCUUGCCAAACUCGCCGUCUCCAACGGCUUCACCGUCACCAAGACACAGAACAACAAGCCCAGACGUAGCACAGGCGACCAAGCCUCGCCGUCGCCGGAGCUCCAACAUGAGUUCUCCAUCGCCAUACCGCCGCACUCGGCCCUGCUGUUCCCAUGCCAGCGCGCGACCGCCAUCGACGCAGCUUCAGAUCACCAGGUACUAGUCAAACAUCUGAUCGUGCUGGAUGGCACCUGGGCGAAGGCGCACCGGAUGUACCACGAGAACCCAUGGCUGCAGCUCGUGCCGCACGUGAAGGUGGAAGCAGAUGGUGUCAGCCUGUACGGCGAGGUGAGGCAUGAGCCCAAGGCCGGGUGCCUGUCGACCAUCGAGAGCAUCGUCGUCGCCAUGAAGGAGCUUGGGGAGGACGAGGCAGAGUUGGAUCGUGUUCUGGCCGUCUUCGAGUCGAUGAUCGCCGACCAGCGACGCUGCAAGGAUGAGAACUGCAAGCCAUAA